AUGUCCCAAUAUCUCCAUGUGUCCCCUGUCCCCGUGUCCCCUCUCCCGGCGCCCCGCACGGGACCUGUCCGGGUGCCGGCGGCUCUCUGGGGAGCUGUGCGCGGAGCCGGCGCCGUCGGUGUUGGCGGCGGGGCCGUCCCUAGGGGACAGCGGCGGGCGGUGAGGGGACACCGGGGCCGGGGGCAGCCCCGCGCCCGCUCCCGGCGCGCACCUGCCGGGCGGCGCCUCCUGGAUGCUCUCGAUGCCGAUGGCGCUGGAGCGGCGGGAGCCGAGCGGGCCGGGCCGCCGCCGGGACGGGCUCUUCCCGGGCACCAGCAGCGCCUGCGGGAGCGCGGUCAGC
This 340-nucleotide long non-coding RNA is filed under the name Anas platyrhynchos platyrhynchos (common mallard). Its description in RNAcentral is "lncRNA (ENSAPLG00000018437.1)". The record is from RNAcentral. Lineage: Eukaryota; Metazoa; Chordata; Aves; Anseriformes; Anatidae.